Molecule: long non-coding RNA, 1246 nt
Organism: Homarus americanus (American lobster)
Lineage: Eukaryota; Metazoa; Arthropoda; Malacostraca; Decapoda; Nephropidae
Exons: 2
Source: RefSeq, a predicted model, not a curated record
CAUGCCACUAUUGACUAUGGCAGCUCUCUCAAAGUGGGGAUGACGCUUGUGACGGUGAGAAAUGGUGGACACUUCUAGUCUUGGUUAACCUCGAUUCCAAUGUAGCACAGUACUGAGUUGCACUAUAGUUUACCAUACAUGUCUGUCUAGUAACUCAGGAAUACAGUUGUAAUAACAAUAUGACUCAUUUAGUUUCUGAAAUCAAGCUUUUUGUAUCUUAUAAGUGGUUUUACCCUGUUAGAAUUAUAACAUAUUCAAAUGCUUGUACAGUAUAUAUAAAUAAUAAUUUGAUUGAAUAUUAAUUUGCAUUGAUGUUUAGGUUGUUUUCUUAAUAAGUUUACUUGAUGUGUGUACAGGUAAUGCUGAAUCUUUGUAAAGUAAGGUAAUGAUAUCCUGUACUGUAUCUGAUUCUGUGUGAUAAUACUGUAACUGAAAACUUUUACUGCACUGUAUAUACUGUAAUAUCUUAUGAUUCUUCUUUUAUAAACAGGUCACAUGAAGGGUAAUCUGAAAAAAAGAGCCUCUAGAAUGUAUUUGUAAUCAGUGGGUGGACCCAGAGUAAGGAUACUGUACCUAAAUGUCCCUUCGUAUGGCUACCACUCUUGUAUGAGGCUGGGGGGUAAAAUCUUUCGAUUGUUUAUUGUUGUUCAUUGCUCAUUGAAACAUGUUUAGACAUAUAUUCACUCUGUGCAUUAAUGUACAGAUGAACGAGUGCAAUUACUUACCUGUGAGCAUUUUGUGAUAAAUGAACACAGUUUACCAUGAAUUGGGAAGUUUGUUCCCGUAACAUUUUCAACUUGACCGCUGAUAUUGCAUAUUGUUGUGUAAUGGUUGGGAAAUAUAGUUAGAUUCCAUAGACCUAGAAUCUCUAUUCACGUGUGUACAAUAUAGUGUUCAACAGAAGAACAAGAACUGUACUGUAAUUGGGUAUCAUGCAUUAAUUAAUAAUUGUGAUGCAAUACAAAUACAGCUGAGGAUAUUUUUAUACAUUUUUAAAAUAUGUAAUACUGUAUGUGAAUGGCUGAUGUAGCAGUAUGGUUGGUUAGAUAUGAACUAUUUGGCAGGUUGAUGAAGUUUGAUUGAGUGUGUAGGUAAUACUCAGUAAAAUGACCAGUAUAUAUAAUGAUGAAGAGACCUAUCUUCUUAUUUGAUACAUUUACUGUACACAAACUUGUAUGUGUAUCUUAAAACUGAUAGUUGUUGAUUAUCUGGAUAAAUUAUACUUGGAAAUAAAAGCAAUGUCAAA